CCUACGGGUGGCUGCAGUGGGGGAUAUUGCACAAUGGGCGAGAGCCUGAUGCAGCGACGCAGCGUGAACGAAGACGUCUUUAUGUGUGUAAAGCUCUAUCAACAGGGAAGUAAAUGACGCUACGUGACUAAGAAUCUCCGGCUCAAUACGUGCCAGCAGCCGCGGUCAUACGUAUGGAGCCAGCGUUAUCCGGAUUUACUGGGUGUAAAGGGAGCGUAGGCGGCUCUGUAAGUCUGAUGUGAAAAUUUGGGGCUCAACCCCAAAAGUGCAGUGGAAACUGGAGGGCUUGAGUGCCGGAGAGGCAGGCGGAAUUCCUAGUGUAGCGGUGAAAUGCGUAGAUAUCAGGAGGAACACCAGUGGCGAAGGCGGCCUGCUGGACGGUAACUGACGCUGAGGCUCGAAAGCGUGGGUAGCAAACAGGAUUAGAUACCCUAGUAGUC
Molecule: ribosomal RNA, 440 nt
Filed under: uncultured bacterium
Lineage: Bacteria
Description: partial 16S ribosomal RNA
Rfam family: Bacterial small subunit ribosomal RNA
Source: RNAcentral